UACGGAAGGCAGCAGUGGGGAAUAUUGCACAAUGGGCGAAAGCCUGAUGCAGCUAUGCCGCGUGUAUGAAGAAGGCCUUAGGGUUGUAAAGUACUUUCAUCGGGGAGGAAAAACAAAACUAAUAAUUUUAUUUCUUGACGUUACCCGAAAAAGAAGCACCGGCUAACUCCGUGCCAGCAGCCGCGGUAAUACGGAGGGUGCUAGCGUUAAUCAGAAUUACUGGGCGUAAAGAGCACGUAGGUGGUUUUUUUAAGUCAGAUGUGAAAUCCCUGGGCUUAACCUGGAACUGCAUUUUGAAACUGAAAUACUAGAGUAUCGUAGAGGGAGGUAGAAUUCUAGGUGUAGCGGUGAAAUGCGUAGAUAUCUGGAGGAAUACCUGUGGCGAAAGCGGCCUCCUAAACGAAUACUGACACUGAGGUGCGAAAAGCGUGGGGAGCAAACAGGGAUUAGGAUACC
RNAcentral lists this ribosomal RNA (456 nucleotides) under uncultured bacterium. RNAcentral describes it as "bacterial SSU rRNA". It matches the Rfam family "Bacterial small subunit ribosomal RNA", at positions 340 to 786 of the family's 1533-position model. The record is from RNAcentral.